GAUGAACGCUGGCGGCGUGCCUAAUACAUGCAAGUCGAGCGAACAGACGAGGAGCUUGCUCCUCUGACGUUAGCGGCGGACGGGUGAGUAACACGUGGAUAACCUACCUAUAAGACUGGGAUAACUUCGGGAAACCGGAGCUAAUACCGGAUAAUAUAUUGAACCGCAUGGUUCAAUAGUGAAAGACGGUUUUACUGUCACUUAUAGAUGGAUCCGCGCCGCAUUAGCUAGUUGGUACGGUAACGGCUUACCAAGGCAACGAUGCGUAGCCGACCUGUGAGGGUGAUCGGCGACACUGGAACUGAGACACGGUCCAGACUCCUACGGGAGGCAGCAGUAGGGAAUCUUCCGCAAUGGGCGAAAGCCUGACGGAGCAACGCCGCGUGAGUGAUGAAGGUCUUCGGAUCGUAAAACUCUGUUAUUAGGGAAGAACAAAUGUGUAAGUAACUAUGCACGUCUUGACGGUACCUAAUCAGAAAGCCACGGCUAACUACGUG
RNAcentral lists this ribosomal RNA (497 nucleotides) under uncultured bacterium. RNAcentral describes it as "partial 16S ribosomal RNA". It matches the Rfam family "Bacterial small subunit ribosomal RNA", at positions 28 to 507 of the family's 1533-position model. The record is from RNAcentral.